This 29-nucleotide small RNA is filed under the name Bombyx mori (domestic silkworm). RNAcentral describes it as "ovarian small RNA-21990". The record is from RNAcentral. Lineage: Eukaryota; Metazoa; Arthropoda; Insecta; Lepidoptera; Bombycidae.
UAGAGAAUGGCUUAAAAUAUCAAAUGCUC